GACGAACCGUCCGAACGUUAUUCGGAAUUACUGGGCUUAAAGGGUGCGUAGGCGGCUUGGAAAGUUGGGUGUGAAAUACCUCGGCUCAACCGGGGAAUAGCGCUCAAAACUGCCAGGCUUGAGGGAGAUAGAGGUGAGCGGAACUUAAGGUGGAGCGGUGAAAUGCGUUGAUAUCUUAAGGAACACCCGUGGCGAAAGCGGCUCACUGGAUCUCUUCUGACGCUCAGGCACGAAAGCUAGGGGAGCGAACGGG
Molecule: ribosomal RNA, 253 nt
Filed under: uncultured bacterium
Lineage: Bacteria
Description: partial 16S ribosomal RNA
Rfam family: Bacterial small subunit ribosomal RNA
Source: RNAcentral